Molecule: ribosomal RNA, 621 nt
Filed under: Uromyces viciae-fabae
Lineage: Eukaryota; Fungi; Basidiomycota; Pucciniomycetes; Pucciniales; Pucciniaceae
Description: eukaryotic LSU rRNA
Rfam family: 5.8S ribosomal RNA (bases 211-364)
Source: RNAcentral
UGCAGAAGGAUCAUUAUUUAAUCUAAAUGAGUGCACUUAAUUGUGGCUCAAACUUUACACUUUUCACCCCAAAACUUGUUUGUGUGGCAUUUAUGCCAUUGCACUCAGGUAUACGUAACAUUUCUUUGUUACAUUAUCCCCCUCCCAAUUUUUUUUUUUUAUAUAAACACAAGUUGAAUGUAAGAAUGUAAAACCUUUUAUUUGAAAAAUAACUUUUAACAAUGGAUCUCUAGGCUCUCAUAUCGAUGAAGAACACAGUGAAAUGUGAUAAGUAAUGUGAAUUGCAGAAUUCAGUGAAUCAUUGAAUCUUUGAACGCACCUUGCACCUUUUGGUAUUCCAAAAGGUACACCUGUUUGAGUGUCAUGAAGAUCUCUCAUCAAAUUUAUUUUUGGUGGAUGUUGAGUGCUGCUGUUAUCCAGCUCACUUUAAAUAUAUAAGUUCUUCCUUAUGUUGUUGGAUUGACUUGGUGUAAUAUUUAACUUUGUUUUCAUCAAGGAAAGUAGCAAUACUUGCCAAUAUAUUAAGUAAGGACUCCUAAAAAACAACUAUUUCAUUUUUUAAGACCUCAAAUCAGGUGGGACUACCUGCUGAACUUAAGCAUAUCAAUAAGCAGAGGAAAA